Molecule: transfer RNA, 83 nt
Filed under: Perca fluviatilis (European perch)
Lineage: Eukaryota; Metazoa; Chordata; Actinopteri; Perciformes; Percidae
Description: tRNA-Ser
Source: RNAcentral
GAGAUGGGUUGCCGAGUGGUUAAGGCGAUGUUCUUGAAAUCCAAAGAGGUUUCCCCUCGUAGGUUCAAACGCUACUCAUGGCA